AUUCAAGAAAUACUGUUUUAUCAUUUUGAACUUUAAUACCGUGAUAGGAAAUAGGGUGAGGGGUCCUUACUUGUUUUCGGGAUCCGAAUACGAUUCACAGUGCGCCUGCAGGCUGUCCCUAAUUUUCCCCUGAAUUUUUUCCGGGGAACUGAAACACGCUAACAGUACCUGCACGGGUUCCAAAAAAAAUCCAAAUUAGGCCCAGGGCCUCUUUCGGCCCAAAUCGCAACUCCGGCACG
Molecule: long non-coding RNA, 239 nt
Filed under: Carica papaya (papaya)
Lineage: Eukaryota; Viridiplantae; Streptophyta; Magnoliopsida; Brassicales; Caricaceae
Description: long non-coding RNA (CPAP_LNC006862)
Source: RNAcentral